This is a long non-coding RNA of Syngnathus typhle (broad-nosed pipefish), 1734 nucleotides long. RefSeq lists it as uncharacterized. Lineage: Eukaryota; Metazoa; Chordata; Actinopteri; Syngnathiformes; Syngnathidae. The transcript has 5 exons. The record is from RefSeq and is a predicted model, not a curated record.
CACAUUUAAGUGGUGCCAGUCAAAAUUCGGGGCGGCUUCAGGACACGGGGCGGCUUCAGGACACGGUGAGCCGUGGUACGUCUGACAUGGAAGCAAAAUGUGCCGAUGCAGUGGAGGAUGUCAAGCGACAUGUUGGCCAUCUCGGCUGCGUGACGGUUGCCGUUCCUAUUGGGGACUCCGGAGGCCACCAUGACGACAACACGACACUCACCUUGUAGACGUCAUGCAGACCGAUGAUGGCGUCAAAGAGCGUGUAGAGGUCGUUCAGCAGGUCCACCACCUCGAUGGGUUCGCUGAGAGCCGAGAUGGUGGUGAAGCCCACGAUGUCGCUAAAGUAGAGUGUGACCUCGCUGAAGUGCUCAGGCUUGACCGGCUUGCCUGUCUUCAGCGCCUGGGCCACAGACCUGGGAGAAAACACAGGGAACAUCGCAAAGUGACUCCAACACGAGACUCCGAGCCACCUUCCUUAAUUUCCAAAGACGGUGCAAAGCUUAGCAACAUUUAUGCUUGGCAGGUUCUUCACUCCAGGCCUGCUUCAAGAUUUGGAUGACGUCCAGGGGAGCCUGAUCCACUGACACGGAGGGGCGGCACAAAGGAGGGGGGUUUGUGACCUUGCUGAUAAUCUCUGCCAAAACACACAGACAACACUGACAUAAACAAUAAGAUCAAGACGCACAUGCAGAUGGAAAGUUUUGCUGUUAUUUAUAUUACGGCGUUGUAGUGAUGAAUGCAAGGUUUCCGCCACAGUUAUAAUUUCCUUUCACUAACUGAUGCAAGACUAAAAAUAUACAGUGAUCCAUAAUGGGUUAAAUUCUUGAAAAUGAUCCAACACCAUGUUUUCUUCUCGAGGUAAUUAUGAAUAGCACACACAUGGCAAAAUAUCUGACAUCAUGGCCAUAUCACUCACCUUUGGGUGGCAUAUCCAGCAUACAAAAAGGAGCAGAGCGGGAAAUCACUUCCUGUCCAAUGAUGGAAAAACUGUAGACGUCUCCCAGAAACGUCCCCUUUCUCCGCAGAUCAGCAUUGCGUAGCAUCUCAGGAGCAGUCCAGAACAGAUCUUUUGGUUGAAGCCAAAGAAGUGAAGAUAAAACAAAGAUGCUGAAAGUUAUUAAUUAUAUCAAGAAAAGGAACAUGAGACCUGAUAUAAACUCACUCUCAGGCUUUUCCUCGUCCAUGCUGAUGCCUUGGCUAUUGAGAAGUUCAUUGAAGCCAUAAUCAGUCACCUUCAGCACAAAGCGCCCGUCCACUACACAGUUUCGGGAUUUGAGGCGUCCAUGGAUUAUUCCUCGAUUGUGCAGGUACUUCAUUCCCUGUUUAAAUGUGACGAGUGAGUCAACACUGUUGACAAAGAGCACUACAAGCAAACGUGUGUCUUUUGUUUUUCCUGUACCCUGAUGAGAUCCAUCAGCAGGGACGACUUGAACAUCCAAUCCAGACGUACAUCCUCAUUCAUGAGCAGGUUUUCCAAGCUACCUCGGGAGCAGUGUUCGGUCACCACUCCAAAAACACCAGAGUCGUUGAAGAGUCCCAGGAACAGAUUGAGAUUCUCGUGCCUCAUGUCUCUGAGCUGCAAGAGUUAGCCGCACAACGUGAAUGCAAGAUCCAGGCGGGCCUUUUUUCAACCAAACCCAAUCACCCUGAGAUUUACAGAAAACACACUUUUACGAUGCGAACAAAAACGCCAACUAAAACAACUCUCAAGUCCAACUCACCUCAAAUAUAGCAACAUUGGAG